RNAcentral lists this ribosomal RNA (492 nucleotides) under uncultured bacterium. RNAcentral describes it as "partial 16S ribosomal RNA". It matches the Rfam family "Bacterial small subunit ribosomal RNA", at positions 28 to 507 of the family's 1533-position model. The record is from RNAcentral.
GAUGAACGCUAGCUACAGGCUUAACACAUGCAAGUCGAGGGGAAACGGCAUUAAGUGCUUGCACUUUUUGGACGUCGACCGGCGCACGGGUGAGUAACGCGUAUCCAACCUUCACAUGACUAAGGGAUAACCUGCCGAAAGGCAGACUAAUAACUUAUGGUCUUCACUGACGGCAUCAGAUGUGAAGUAAAGAUUUAUCGGUUUUGGACGGGGAUGCGUUUGAUUAGCGUGUUGGCGGGGUAACGGCCCAGCAAGGCAAUGAUCAGUAGGGGUUCUGAGAGAAAGGUCCCCCACAUUGGAACUGGGACACGGUCCAAACUGCUACGGCAGGAAGCAGUGAGGAAUAAUGGUCAAUGGGCGAGAGCCUGAACCAACCAAGUAGCGUGCAAGAAGACGGCCCUAUGGGUUGUAAACUGCUUUUGUAUGGGGAUAAAGUCAAACACAGGUGACUGUUUGCAGGUACCUUACGAAUAAGAACCGGCUAAUUCCGUG